AUUGAACGCUGGCGGCAUGCCUUACACAUGCAAGUCGAACGGCAGCACGGGUGCUUGCACCUGGUGGCGAGUGGCGAACGGGUGAGUAAUACAUCGGAACGUACCUUAUCGUGGGGGAUAACGCAGCGAAAGCUGUGCUAAUACCGCAUACGCCCUGAGGGGGAAAGCGGGGGAUCGAAAGACCUCGCGCGAUUAGAGCGGCCGAUGCCUGAUUAGCUUGUUGGUGGGGUAAAAGCCCACCAAGGCGACGAUCAGUAGCUGGUCUGAGAGGACGAUCAGCCACACUGGGACUGAGACACGGCCCAGACUCCUACGGGAGGCAGCAGUGGGGAAUUUUGGACAAUGGGGGCAACCCUGAUCCAGCAAUGCCGCGUGAGUGAAGAAGGCCUUCGGGUUGUAAAGCUCUUUUGUCAGGGAAGAAACACCGGCUCUAACACAGUCCGGGAAUGACGGUACCAGAAGAAUAAGCACCGGCUAACUACGUGCCAGCAGCCGCGGUAA
RNAcentral lists this ribosomal RNA (501 nucleotides) under uncultured bacterium. Its description in RNAcentral is "partial 16S ribosomal RNA". It matches the Rfam family "Bacterial small subunit ribosomal RNA", at positions 29 to 523 of the family's 1533-position model. The record is from RNAcentral.